This 482-nucleotide ribosomal RNA is filed under the name uncultured bacterium. RNAcentral's name for it is "partial 16S ribosomal RNA". It matches the Rfam family "Bacterial small subunit ribosomal RNA", at positions 30 to 507 of the family's 1533-position model. The record is from RNAcentral.
AUUGAACGCUGGCGGCAUGCCUUACACAUGCAAGUCGAACGGUAACGGGCCUUCGGGUGCCGACGCGUGGCGAACGGGUGAGUAAUACAUCGGAACGUGCCCGAUCGUGGGGGAUAACGAGGCGAAAGCUUUGCUAAUACCGCAUACGAUCUACGGAUGAAAGCCGUGGACCGCAAGGCCUUGCGCGGACGGAGCGGCCGAUGGCAGAUUAGGUAGUUGGUGGGAUAAAAGCUUACCAAGCCGACGAUCUGUAGCUGGUCUGAGAGGAUGAUCAGCCACACUGGGACUGAGACACGGCCCAGACGCCUACGGGAGGCAGCAGUGGGGAAUUUUGGACAAUGGGCGCAAGCCUGAUCAAGCCAUGCCGCGUGCAGGAUGAAGGACUUCGGGUUGUAAACUGCUUUUGUACGGAACGAAAAGCCUUCUUUUAAUACAGGAGGGUCAUGACGGUACCGGAAGAAUAAGCACCGGCUAACUACGUG